GACGAACGCUGGCGGCGUGCUUAACACAUGCAAGUCGAACGGUAAGGCCCUUCGGGGUACACGAGUGGCGAACGGGUGAGUAACACGUGGUGAUCUGCCCUGCACUUCGGGAUAAGCCUGGGAAACUGGGUCUAAUACCGGAUAGGACCAUGGACUUCACGGUUUGUGGUGGAAAGCUUUUGCGGUGUGGGAUGGGCCCGCGGCCUAUCAGCUUGUUGGUGGGGUAAUGGCCUACCAAGGCGACGACGGGGUAGCCCGGCCUGAGAGGGUGUCCGGCCACACUGGGACUGAGACACGGCCCAGACUCCUACGGGAGGCAGCAGUGGGAAUAUUGCACAAUGGGCGCAAGCCUGAUGCAGCGACGCCGCGUGAGGGAUGACGGCC
Molecule: ribosomal RNA, 384 nt
Filed under: uncultured bacterium
Lineage: Bacteria
Description: bacterial SSU rRNA
Rfam family: Bacterial small subunit ribosomal RNA
Source: RNAcentral